UAUAUUUUAGUGUAUAAACACAUAAAAUUUUGAAUUUUAAAAAAUUAAUUAAAUUAAUAAAUAUAA
Molecule: transfer RNA, 66 nt
Filed under: Eucera floralia
Lineage: Eukaryota; Metazoa; Arthropoda; Insecta; Hymenoptera; Apidae
Description: tRNA-Gln
Source: RNAcentral